Long non-coding RNA from Lates calcarifer (barramundi perch), 866 nucleotides. RefSeq lists it as uncharacterized. The transcript is spliced from 4 exons. Lineage: Eukaryota; Metazoa; Chordata; Actinopteri; Centropomidae. The record is from RefSeq and is a predicted model, not a curated record.
GGCUGAGGAGAUGAGAAAAGAGAAGAGAAAAAUCAGAGUGGAGGAGAGGAGAGGAGGUGGAGGGCAACAUGACAUGUAAACCCUCUCAUCUAAAAGAGAGGAGAAAAAAUGAGGGAAGAGACAUGAAAAAAGGAAAAAAGACGAGAGGGGAGGAGAGGAGAGGAGGUGGGAGGGCAACAUGUCGUGUAAAACCUCUCAUGUAAAAGAGAGAGGAGAGGAGGUGGAGGACAAUAUGAAAAGUGAACCGUCACCAUCAAAAAGAAAAACAUCUGUUUAUGUCAUACUGUCUACAUGAUACACAGGAAGAAUCCAUCUGUUCACAUUUAUUCACUGAAAAUGUAACUAUUAUCCCCUCAUCUGCAUUUUUUAGAAAGAGGAGAGGAGACACGAUUGAGGAAGAGAGAGAGGAGACGAGAAAAGGAAAGAAAAGAGGAAAAUCAGAGUGGAGGAGAGGAGAGGAGGUGGAGGGCAUUAUAAAGUGGAAACCCUCUCAUGUAAAAGUGAGAUAAUGACAGAGGAGGUGGAGAGGAGGUGGAGGACAUUACGAAGAAUGAACACUCACAUAUAAAAGGUAGGAAGCUAAUGUCUCUGAAAGCAGCUUAACUUCCCUGUAAUAACUUGAGACUGGUCUGAAAAGUUGUUCUCUUCUUGUGUUUUCCUUUUCAGCCAAGAAAACUCUGACCUGCCACUUCACAAACUACAAGUGAAACAUGUUUCUACAAAGAUUUUUCUCAUGUUCAAACUGUUCAAAAACAAGUGUUUGAAAUACAAAGUGACAACAAAAAGUGUGUUUUGUGAUUACAUUUAUAAAGACUUGUGACUUGAUUGAGAUUAUUGUAAUACUGAUUAUAGUGAUUACUGAUAUU